GCACGCACACGGUCACCAGCUCCGACUUCUCCUUGGCGUGCAGGCGGGGAGGUAUUUGGCUGGGGGGAACAAAACGGAGAGACGGGUCUGUGGCCUCCUCCGCCCGCCGGACCUCCCCAGGCCUCGUCCCUCCUUCUGCCUCCUCCCAGCCCGCCUCCUCUCCGCUGCCAGAGCCGCGGUCCCAAAGCCCGAUCCCGCGAGCCACCUCGGAGCUCAGCUCCUGCCUUCCUGGCCAUGGCCUGGCCUCCGCGGGUCAUCGAUGAGAAAAAUGAGGCUAGAGAUGAGUGCCAUGACUUGCCCAGGGUCAUAGUGAAAAAGCGCCUUGCUGGAUGGAAGAGAACUGAGAUCAAGGACACCCACACUGAAAUUCUGUCUCCUGUAUUUACUAACUGUGUAACUAUAGGGAAGUCAUGGAAAUUCUCUGGGCCUCAGGUUCUUCCUCUGUGAAAUAGGGAUAGUGAUAUAUAAUAAAUGCUUCUUGAUUUGA
This is a long non-coding RNA of Monodelphis domestica (gray short-tailed opossum), 487 nucleotides long. RefSeq lists it as uncharacterized. The record is from RefSeq and is a predicted model, not a curated record. NCBI's taxonomy places the organism in Eukaryota, Metazoa, Chordata, Mammalia, Didelphimorphia, Didelphidae.